Molecule: RNA transcript, 2763 nt
Organism: Arachis stenosperma
Lineage: Eukaryota; Viridiplantae; Streptophyta; Magnoliopsida; Fabales; Fabaceae
Gene name: probable DNA primase large subunit
Exons: 10
Source: RefSeq, a predicted model, not a curated record
CAACUCAAAAUCGAUUCAGUGAGUAAACAUGUAAACUUUAGAAUUUGAUACCCUUUUGGUAUCCACUGCAUCAUUGUAGCUACAAGUUGUGGGUGUUUGUAUAUGUUUCUUAAUCAGAACUAAUGAAUGAUCCAAUUUGUAUUGCUAUUUUCAGUCCAAUACUAAUUAUUUGGAAGAGGUUCUGAAGUGUGUGACUGCUGAAAACAAAAAAUUGGCUGAAAUGCUCUUCAUGUGCUUGCCAAAAUGAUUUCAUCUCUGGGUUUAUUAUUGCCUUUUAUUUUUUUAAAACUUUUCCUUACAAAUUCUAGAACUAGAAGUUGAUGGCAUCCAUGUUGUGUCUAUUGAAGUAGAUCUCAAUUCUCUUCUCUUUUGCUGGAAAACUUAGUUAUUGCACAGUCAUCUUUGACAUGAAUAUUCAAAGACUUAAAUAUUAGCCUCCCAACUAUGUUUAUAUCUUUUUAAAGGUUUAUAUAAUUUUGUUUUGCCUUGCUCUUGAAUAUUGGAAAGUUACAUUUUUAUUUAAGAUAACAAUAUAAGAAAACAGACAAAAAAUUGGACCCUUUUCUUCUGCUACUUUAUUGUGCAUGUGUCUUACUAUGUUGUCUUAAUUGUGUGUUUUUACCUGAAAUGGCAGUUACUACAAUUGAUUCUGGGACCAAAGCUUUAGAAUUUCUGGCCUUGCGUGAGAACGAUGAUAGCACCAAAAAUACACCAUCUAUUUCUCCUAACGAUCAUCAGAUUGUGGAGGCCCUGUGUUCGAGUUAUUUGGGUCCUGAUUUUUCUCAGCCUAAAGAAUAUGGUGAGAUAUCAUUAAAGGACACUGAUCAAGUUGCCAAGAGCUCAUUUCCUUUGUGCAUGCGUCGCCUAUUUGAAAAGCUGAGAGAGGAUCAUCAUUUAAAGCAUGCAGGGAGGAUGCAACUAGGCUUAUUUCUGAAGGGUGUUGGCCUGAACGUAGAUGAUUCACUUGCAUUUUGGAGAGAGGAGUUCUCUAAAAAGGUUGGUCUGGAGAAGUUUGAGAAAGAUUAUGCAUACAACAUACGCCAUAAUUAUGGGAAAGAAGGGAAGAAAACUGAUUAUACUCCCUAUUCUUGUCAAAGGAUUAUUUUAUAAUGGUUGCCCUUAUCGACAUUUUGGGUGAGUGUUAUGAUCUGAUGAACGAUCAGCGAGGAGAAUGUAAGAGCUGCUCUCAGUAGAAUGGGGGUUAAUAGUCGGGCAAUGGAAGAUGUGAUGGGCAAAGUGAGAAAUAGAGAUUAUUUGGUUGGUCUCAACAUAACCUACUGAAAUAGGGAUUUGGUUUGAUGUCUGAGAACGAUAUGGAUACUGUAUGUGCAGUUGGCCUGCACCUUGACAUUUGAAGCUCUUCAUGCAGCGCCAUGUGAUGCAGGGAUUAACCAUCCAAAUCAAAGGCUAUUAAAGGCGAAGAAGGACUCUUCAACGUAAGAAUUUUGUUUAUCGCAAUGGACAGAGUACUGUGGCCCCUCCCAGGAGAAAUACAUAGAGACAAUGUUGCACAGAUUUCAAAUGGAUAAAGCAAAGGCUGUUAGUACUUCUCUUGCUACACACUUCAAAUUGAGUUGCAAGCAAAGUCCAUCAAGUGAUGAAGAGAAGAAAGACAUGGAAAAAGUUUCAUAUGCAUCAGCCGUGGGUAGCAUAAUGUAUGCUAUAGUGUGCACAAGACCGGAUAUAGCUCAUGCUGUUGGUUGUGUUAGCCGUUUUGUUUCAAACCCAGGAAGAGAGUAUUGGAAUGCUGUAAAAUGGAUAAUGAGAUAAGCCUAUUCUAACAUGAAGUUGUGUUAUGGAAGUGAUAAGCCUAUUCUAGUUGGUUACACUGACUCAGACAUGGCAGGAGAUAUUGAUUCUAGAAGGUCCAUUUCAGGCUUCUUGAUCAACUUUGCGGGUGGAGCUGUGUCUUGGCAAUCAAGAUUGCAAAAAUGUGUUGCUUUGUCUACUACCGAGGCCAAGUUUAUUGCCAUUACCGAAGCGUGCAAGGAGAUGCUUUGGAUGAAGAAAUUCUUGAAGGAACUCGGGUCUACUUAAGAGAGGUAUGUGUUGUUUUGUGAUAGUCAAAGUGCUAUACAUCUUGGUAAAAAUUCUACUUUUCAUUCUCGGUCCAAACAUAUUGAUGUGAGGUAUCAUUGGAUACAUGAUAUUUUGGAUGCUGAGUUAUUGGAACUUGAAAAGGUUCAUACUGAUGAGAAUGGUUCUGAUAUGAUGACCAAGGCAUUACCAAGAUGGAAGUUUGAAGUUUGUUGCUUAAUCGCCGGAUUGGCGGUUACCUCCACAUAGUCGUGAGGGAGAGAUUUGUUGGGUUUUUGGACUCCCUUCCUAUGUGGAGAAAAAGUCCAAAUGCUAGUAUCCAAGCCCAUGAAUAGUUGAAGUGGAUGAGGUGAUUUAGGGUUGAGUGAGAGAUAGGUCAUUUUGCAAGAGAACACCAAACACUAGAAAGAAGAGAAGAGAGAAAGUCAUUUUCGCACAUACACAAAGCUGUCUCUGUAAAUUGGUCACUGCAGAUUCGUUAACCGUUGGAUUGAGCUCAAAUUUGGACAGUAUGUUCUACACAUCUGGUUCUUUGAUUUUACCGUUCGGAUCUGCAAUUAGACAUCUGUAUCUAGAGAUAUUGGCCACGCACAGUAGCUCUGUUUUUGUGGUAUUUUCAUCUUCUUGUUCUUGUUUUGUAAGCUUUGAAGCUUGAGUUGUUUGGCUUGUUGUAUGCACGUUUUGUGCAGUAAUUUGUGACUCUCUUGUACCCUAUUUUUCAUCAUA